GAUGAACGCUGGCGGCGUGCCUAAUACAUGCAAGUCGAGCGAACGGACGAGAAGCUUGCUGCUCUGAUGUUAGCGGCGGAGGGGUGAGUAACACGUGGAAAACCUACCUAUAAGACUGGGAUAACUUCGGGAAACCGGAGCUAAUACCGGAUGAUAUUUUGCACCGCAGGGUUCAAAAGUGAAUGACGGUCUUGCUGUCACGUCUAGAUGGAUCAGCGCUGCAUUAGCUAGUUGGUAAUGUAACUGCUUACCAAGGCUACGAUGCAUAUCCGACCGGAGAGGGUGAUCGGCCACACUGGAACUGAGACACGUUCCAGACUCCUGCGGGAAGCAGCAGUAGGGAAUCUUCCGCAAUGGUGGAAAGCCUGACGGAGCAACGCCGCGUGAGUGAUGAUGGUCUUCUGUUCGGAAAACUCUGUUAUUAGUGGAGAACAUAUGUGUAAGUAACUGUGCACAACUUGACGGUAACUAAUCAGAAAGCCACGGCUAACUACGUG
RNAcentral lists this ribosomal RNA (497 nucleotides) under uncultured bacterium. Its description in RNAcentral is "partial 16S ribosomal RNA". It matches the Rfam family "Bacterial small subunit ribosomal RNA", at positions 28 to 507 of the family's 1533-position model. The record is from RNAcentral.